GCGCAACAUCAACCAGUACAUCGAUAAUAACAAAUUCAAUGGGCACCUCUGGGGAGUAUUGUUUACCCAUUUUAUCAACCUUGCUUUUUCCAACUUUUUUGUACUCUUUCUUAAUCAUUGGCUAAAAACAUCUAUUGCACUCACCCAUGUCCUGAGCCAUCCAUCUUUGUGACUCCUAUUAAUCCCGAACCUUCUUGGAUUCGGAGCGUCAAACCGUGUUCCCCCUUAUGAAAUGUUCGCCAAACUUGACAUCUGAUACUACGGGGGGCUGCGCAUUCGCACAGGAUAUGAUGGGGCGUUUUCUUCGCCUUCUCCUAGAAUCUACAUGAAUCGGUGUUCGCGUCAUUCGGAUGAUAUCUGAAAGCGAUGAUCUCUAGAUUGAAAUCGAAAAAACCGGGCAAAUAUUAACUAGACGGAUGGACAGACAGGCUUAAAUUAAUUAAGAAAAUUUUCCUCAUUCCGUUAAUGUAGUAAAAGAAAUACGUGGCUUCACAGAUGUUUCUGUCUAGAUCCGUCAAUCCGUCUACAUUCUUGAAGAAUAAAAGGAAUCUACCCCUCCUCUAUCUGGGCAUGCAUACAUAUGCAUACAUUUUUUUAUAUAAACACAUGGCAUAAAUUCAUCUUUCAUUUUGGACCAUUACACUCUUUCUCCAUGGCUAGUGCUAGGCCAAGGCUAGGUCUUACUUACUUCAUUUUGUGCUGGUUGAUUACUAACGACUAGAUUUUCUUAACGAGAUCUGUUAAAAUUGCCCAUGCCAACAGAGGUGGUCGCGAACAUCAGCGGACGCAUUAGCCCAAUGUAACACAAAUAAGGCAAACUUUGUGUAAGAAGUAAAGAAUUGAAAAAUCAAAUCAGAGAAAGACAAUUUAGAACAAAUAAGUUAAUAAAUAGACUUUCAUGACUAAAACCUAAUAGAGUGAAAUGAAAGAG
Glossina fuscipes is the source of this 931-nucleotide long non-coding RNA. RefSeq lists it as uncharacterized. NCBI's taxonomy places the organism in Eukaryota, Metazoa, Arthropoda, Insecta, Diptera, Glossinidae. The record is from RefSeq and is a predicted model, not a curated record. The transcript is spliced from 4 exons.